GACGAACGCUGUCGGCGUGCUUAACACAUGCAAGUCGAACGGAAAGGCCCUGCUUUUGUGGGGUGCUCGAGUGGCGAACGGGUGAGUAACACGUGAGUAACCUGCCCUUGACUUUGGGAUAACUUCAGGAAACUGGGGCUAAUACCGGAUAGGAGCUCCUGCUGCAUGGUGGGGGUUGGAAAGUUUCGGCGGUUGGGGAUGGACUCGCGGCUUAUCAGCUUGUUGGUGGGGUAGUGGCUUACCAAGGCUUUGACGGGUAGCCGGCCUGAGAGGGUGACCGGCCACAUUGGGACUGAGAUACGGCCCAGACUCCUACGGGAGGCAGCAGUGGGGAAUAUUGCACAAUGGGCGGAAGCCUGAUGCAGCAACGCCGCGUGCGGGAUGACGGCCUUCGGGUUGUAAACCGCUUUCGCCUGUGACGAAGCGUGAGUGACGGUAAUGGGUAAAGAAGCACCGGCUAACUACGUGCCAGCAGCCGCGGUGAUACGUAGGGUGCGAGCGUUGUCCGGAUUUAUUGGGCGUAAAGGGCUCGUAGGUGGUUGAUCGCGUCGGAAGUGUAAUCUUGGGGCUUAACCCUGAGCGUGCUUUCGAUACGGGUUGACUUGAGGAAGGUAGGGGAGAAUGGAAUUCCUGGUGGAGCGGUGGAAUGCGCAGAUAUCAGGAGGAACACCAGUGGCGAAGGCGGUUCUCUGGGCCUUUCCUGACGCUGAGGAGCGAAAGCGUGGGGAGCGAACAGGCUUAGAUACCCUGGUAGUCCACGCUGUAAACGGUGGGUACUAGGUGUGGGGUCCAUUCCACGGGUUCCGUGCCGUAGCUAACGCUUUAAGUACCCCGCCUGGGGAGUACGGCCGCAAGGCUAAAACUCAAAGGAAUUGACGGGGCCCCGCACAAGCGGCGGAGCAUGCGGAUUAAUUCGAUGCAACGCGUAGAACCUUACCUGGGUUUGACAUGGAUCGGGAGUGCUCAGAGAUGGGUGUGCCUCUUUUGGGGUCGGUUCACAGGUGGUGCAUGGCUGUCGUCAGCUCGUGUCGUGAGAUGUUGGGUUAAGUCCCGCAACGAGCGCAACCCUUGUUCACUGUUGCCAGCACGUUAUGGUGGGGACUCAGUGGAGACCGCCGGGGUCAACUCGGAGGAAGGUGGGGAUGACGUCAAGUCAUCAUGCCCCUUAUGUCCAGGGCUUCACGCAUGCUACAAUGGCUGGUACAGAGAGUGGCGAGCCUGUGAGGGUGAGCGAAUCUCGGAAAGCCGGUCACAGUUCGGAUUGGGGUCUGCAACUCGACCUCAUGAAGUCGGAGUCGCUAGUAAUCGCAGAUCAGCAACGCUGCGGUGAAUACGUUCCCGGGGCU
RNAcentral lists this ribosomal RNA (1346 nucleotides) under uncultured bacterium. RNAcentral describes it as "partial 16S ribosomal RNA". It matches the Rfam family "Bacterial small subunit ribosomal RNA", at positions 28 to 1381 of the family's 1533-position model. The record is from RNAcentral.